UUGGAGAGUUUGAUCCUGGCUCAGGAUGAACGCUGGCGGCGUGCUCUAAUACAUGCAAGUCGAGCGAACAGACGAGGAGCUUGCUCCUCUGAUGUUAGCGGCGGACGGGUGAGUAACACGUGGAUAACCUACCUAUAAGACUGGGAUAACUUCGGGAAACCGGAGCUAAUACCGGAUAACAUGUUGAACCGCAUGGUAUCAAUCAGUGAAAGACGGUCUUGCUGUCACUUAUAGAUGGAUCCGCGCCGCAUUAGCUAGUUGGUAAGGUAACGGCUUACCAAGGCAACGAUGCGUAGCCGACCUGAGAGGGUGAUCGGCCACACUGGAACUGAGACACGGUCCAGACUCCUACGGGAGGCAGCAGUAGGGAAUCUUCCGCAAUGGGCGAAAGCCUGACGGAGCAACGCCGCGUGAGUGAAGAAGGUCUUCGGAUCGUAAAACUCUGUUAUUAGGGAAGAACAAAUGUGUAAGUAACUAUGCACGUCUUGACGGUACCUAAUCAGAAAGCCACGGCUAACUACGUGCCAGCAGCCGCGGUAAUA
RNAcentral lists this ribosomal RNA (542 nucleotides) under Staphylococcus sp. RNAcentral describes it as "bacterial SSU rRNA". It matches the Rfam family "Bacterial small subunit ribosomal RNA", at positions 1 to 525 of the family's 1533-position model. The record is from RNAcentral. Lineage: Bacteria; Bacillati; Bacillota; Bacilli; Caryophanales; Staphylococcaceae.